UACGUAGGGGGCUAGCGUUGUCCGGAUUCAUUGGGCGUAAAGCGCGUGUAGGCGGCCCGGUAAGUCCGCUGUGAAAGUCCAGGGCUCAACCCUGGGAUGCCGGUGGAUACUGUCGGGCUCGAGUCCGGAAGAGGCGAGUGGAAUUCCUAGUGUAGCGGUGAAAUGCGCAGAUAUCAGGAGGAACACCAAUGGCGAAGGCAGCUCGCUGGGACGUGACUGACGCUGAGACGCGAAAGCGUGGGGAGCAAACAGG
RNAcentral lists this ribosomal RNA (253 nucleotides) under uncultured bacterium. Its description in RNAcentral is "partial 16S ribosomal RNA". It matches the Rfam family "Bacterial small subunit ribosomal RNA", at positions 524 to 776 of the family's 1533-position model. The record is from RNAcentral.